RNAcentral lists this ribosomal RNA (1542 nucleotides) under Salmonella enterica subsp. enterica serovar Bredeney. RNAcentral describes it as "bacterial SSU rRNA". It matches the Rfam family "Bacterial small subunit ribosomal RNA". Lineage: Bacteria; Pseudomonadati; Pseudomonadota; Gammaproteobacteria; Enterobacterales; Enterobacteriaceae. The record is from RNAcentral.
AAAUUGAAGAGUUUGAUCAUGGCUCAGAUUGAACGCUGGCGGCAGGCCUAACACAUGCAAGUCGAACGGUAACAGGAAGCAGCUUGCUGCUUUGCUGACGAGUGGCGGACGGGUGAGUAAUGUCUGGGAAACUGCCUGAUGGAGGGGGAUAACUACUGGAAACGGUGGCUAAUACCGCAUAACGUCGCAAGACCAAAGAGGGGGACCUUCGGGCCUCUUGCCAUCAGAUGUGCCCAGAUGGGAUUAGCUAGUUGGUGAGGUAACGGCUCACCAAGGCGACGAUCCCUAGCUGGUCUGAGAGGAUGACCAGCCACACUGGAACUGAGACACGGUCCAGACUCCUACGGGAGGCAGCAGUGGGGAAUAUUGCACAAUGGGCGCAAGCCUGAUGCAGCCAUGCCGCGUGUAUGAAGAAGGCCUUCGGGUUGUAAAGUACUUUCAGCGGGGAGGAAGGUGUUGUGGUUAAUAACCGCAGCAAUUGACGUUACCCGCAGAAGAAGCACCGGCUAACUCCGUGCCAGCAGCCGCGGUAAUACGGAGGGUGCAAGCGUUAAUCGGAAUUACUGGGCGUAAAGCGCACGCAGGCGGUCUGUCAAGUCGGAUGUGAAAUCCCCGGGCUCAACCUGGGAACUGCAUUCGAAACUGGCAGGCUUGAGUCUUGUAGAGGGGGGUAGAAUUCCAGGUGUAGCGGUGAAAUGCGUAGAGAUCUGGAGGAAUACCGGUGGCGAAGGCGGCCCCCUGGACAAAGACUGACGCUCAGGUGCGAAAGCGUGGGGAGCAAACAGGAUUAGAUACCCUGGUAGUCCACGCCGUAAACGAUGUCUACUUGGAGGUUGUGCCCUUGAGGCGUGGCUUCCGGAGCUAACGCGUUAAGUAGACCGCCUGGGGAGUACGGCCGCAAGGUUAAAACUCAAAUGAAUUGACGGGGGCCCGCACAAGCGGUGGAGCAUGUGGUUUAAUUCGAUGCAACGCGAAGAACCUUACCUGGUCUUGACAUCCACGGAAGAAUUCAGAGAUGGAUUUGUGCCUUCGGGAACCGUGAGACAGGUGCUGCAUGGCUGUCGUCAGCUCGUGUUGUGAAAUGUUGGGUUAAGUCCCGCAACGAGCGCAACCCUUAUCCUUUGUUGCCAGCGGUUAGGCCGGGAACUCAAAGGAGACUGCCAGUGAUAAACUGGAGGAAGGUGGGGAUGACGUCAAGUCAUCAUGGCCCUUACGACCAGGGCUACACACGUGCUACAAUGGCGCAUACAAAGAGAAGCGACCUCGCGAGAGCAAGCGGACCUCAUAAAGUGCGUCGUAGUCCGGAUUGGAGUCUGCAACUCGACUCCAUGAAGUCGGAAUCGCUAGUAAUCGUGGAUCAGAAUGCCACGGUGAAUACGUUCCCGGGCCUUGUACACACCGCCCGUCACACCAUGGGAGUGGGUUGCAAAAGAAGUAGGUAGCUUAACCUUCGGGAGGGCGCUUACCACUUUGUGAUUCAUGACUGGGGUGAAGUCGUAACAAGGUAACCGUAGGGGAACCUGCGGUUGGAUCACCUCCUUA